CCCGCCGGCGAUCGGCGCACGGGUGAGUAACACGUAUGGAACCUGCCCGCAGCAGGGGGAUAAGCGGAAGAAAUCCCGUCUAAUACCGCGUAACACCGCGGAGGGGCAUCCCUCGGCGGUUAAAGAUUCAUCGGCUGCGGAUGGCCAUGCGGCGCAUUAGCUAGUCGGCGGGGUAACGGCCCACCGAGGCGACGAUGCGUAGGGGUUCUGAGAGGAAGGUCCCCCACACUGGUACUGAGACACGGACCAGACUCCUACGGGAGGCAGCAG
Molecule: ribosomal RNA, 270 nt
Filed under: uncultured bacterium
Lineage: Bacteria
Description: partial 16S ribosomal RNA
Rfam family: Bacterial small subunit ribosomal RNA
Source: RNAcentral